ACACCAGGAAAGUUCCGGGUCUGGAAGCUGCGUUGGCUGAGGCCGGGAGAGGCCCAGGACUGGAGUCUGCGGGCCUCCCUGAGCGUCGCCAUUGCGCUUCGGUGCUGUGCUUGUGUGUUGUUUAUUUAUUUAUUUAAACGGAGUCUCGCUCAGUCGCCCAGGCUGGAGUACAGUGGCGGGACCUCGGCUCACUGCAAGCUCCACCUCCCAGGUUCAAGCGACUCUCCUGCCUCAAGCCUCCCGAGUAGUUGGCACUACAGGCGCCCAGCACCACGCCCGGCUAAUUUUGUAUUUUUAGUAGAGACGAGGUUUCACCAUGUUGGCCAGGCGGCUCUCAAACUCCUGAACUCAAGCGAUCCUCUGGCUUCCGCCUCCCAAACUGCUGGGAUUGCAGGUUCAUCAUGACGUCUGGUCAUCCCUCGACAGGUUCCGAGCUUCCCCUCCUUCCUCACUCCUGCGACCUCAGGAGCAGCCUCCCAACAGCUUUCCUGGGUCCGUCGUUCCCCUCUGAUCUGAAACCCGCACGGAAGUCAGGUACCAGGUCUUCUGCCUGAGGCCUCUGGCAGCUCCCACUCUGCUGUGAAUGAACCCCCAACACCUGGCCUCUGCCUUCCCCUGUGUACCUCCAGCCACAGCAACUUCCACCCCCAUUCCCAGCCCACCAAGCCCUUUCCUGUCUCGGGGACAUUGCGCAUGCGAUGCCUCCUCCACAGAGAGGACCUCCCUGACCACUGUCCUAAUGGGCCUUUCCAUCACUGUGGCCUCCACGGCACUUGUCACCACCCAUUCGUUUGUUUACUGGUUGUUGGUCACAUACGAGUGUGAAUUCCACCAGGGCAGGAAUCACAUUCUGGCUCAGUCCCCACCGAAUGCUCAGUGCCUGAACACUUGUUCAACCAGUUGCCCUCUUUCUUUUUUCAAAACGUUUUGAAAUGGAGUUUUGCUCUUCUUGCCCAGGCUGGAGUGCAGUGGUGCGAUCUUGGCUCACUGCAACCUCCGCCUCCCGGGUUCAAGCGAUUCUCCUGCCUCAGCUUCCUGAGUAGCUGGGAUUACAGGCAUGCGCCACCAUGCUGGGCUAAUUUUGUAUUUUUAGUAGAGACUGGGCUUCUCCAUGUUGCUCAGGCUGGUCUCAAAUUCCCGACCUCAGGUGAUCCACCCGCCUUGGCCUCCCAAAGUGCUAGAAUUACAGGUGUGAGCCACCGUGCCCAGUCUCUUUUUAAAAUUUUUUGAGACGGAGUUUUGCUGUUUCACCCAGGUUGGAGUGAGGUGGCGCAAUCUCAGCUCACAGCAGCCUCCACCCCCUGGGUUCAAGUGAUUCUGCCUCAGCCUCCGUAGUAGCUGGGAUUACAGGCAACCACCACCACGCCUGGUUAAUUUUUUAUAUAUUUAGUAGAGACAGGGUUUCACCAUAUUGGCCAGGCUGGUCUCGAACUCCUGAUCUCAGGUGAUCCACCCCCCCGCCCCCGCUUUGGCCUCCCUAAGUGCUAGGAUUACAGGCGUGAGCCACCGUGCCCAGCCUCAGUUACCCUCUUUCGACCUUUCUUCCCUGGGCGUCAGACAUUGCUAUUGGUGCAUUGUGUAAUAUUUUGCGACAUCCUUGUCCCUGCCUGUUACUCUGUGCAUAGAAUAGGGCUCAUUUCUGCUUCUCCGGAUGGGUGGGCUAGAGUCUAGAUACUUUGGAGGGAAUAUUAUGUGUAGUGACUUUAGUGUCGUCUCUGCCUUUAAGGAAUGGGAGGUCCUCUGCCUUCCGUGUAGUCACUGUUGUUUCCAUUCUACCACAUUGGCAUCCAGCCUCUACCCCUUUGUUGCAAGAAAGAAUAAAUCUGAUAAGAGGCACAGGAGAAUCCCGAGACCUGGGACGCCCAGGGCAGAUACGCCAUCCUACACUGUGGCCUGGUGACCUAAAAACAACUCAGACACAGAUUUUUACAAUUUUUUUAAUAUAUAUUUUUAUAAACAGGUCACGUGAUAAAAUAGCACAAGAAACACUUACCAAAUAUAAGGUUAUAUCUUCCGCAUA
Macaca mulatta (Rhesus monkey) is the source of this 2020-nucleotide long non-coding RNA. NCBI's taxonomy places the organism in Eukaryota, Metazoa, Chordata, Mammalia, Primates, Cercopithecidae. The record is from Ensembl.